GCUCUCGUAGUGUAAUGGAUAGCACAACAGAUUUCGGCUCUGUUUGUGAGGGUUCGAGUCCUUCCGAGAGUA
This 72-nucleotide transfer RNA is filed under the name Bacteroidota bacterium. RNAcentral describes it as "Bacteroidetes bacterium (activated sludge metagenome) tRNA-Arg". It matches the Rfam family "tRNA". From Rfam's summary of the family: Transfer RNA (tRNA) molecules are approximately 80 nucleotides in length. Lineage: Bacteria; Pseudomonadati; Bacteroidota. RNAcentral also lists the same sequence under 1 other name. The record is from RNAcentral.